UGGGGAAUAUUGGACAAUGGGCGAAAGCCUGAUCCAGCCAUGCCGCGUGUGUGAAGAAGGUCUUCGGAUUGUAAAGCACUUUAAGUUGGGAGGAAGGGCAUUAACCUAAUACGUUAGUGUUUUGACGUUACCGACAGAAUAAGCACCGGCUAACUCUGUGCCAGCAGCCGCGGUAAUACAGAGGGUGCAAGCGUUAAUCGGAAUUACUGGGCGUAAAGCGCGCGUAGGUGGUUUGUUAAGUUGGAUGUGAAAUCCCCGGGCUCAACCUGGGAACUGCAUUCAAAACUGACUGACUAGAGUAUGGUAGAGGGUGGUGGAAUUUCCUGUGUAGCGGUGAAAUGCGUAGAUAUAGGAAGGAACACCAGUGGCGAAGGCGACCACCUGGACUAAUACUGACACUGAGGUACGAAAGCGUGGGGAGCAAACA
RNAcentral lists this ribosomal RNA (427 nucleotides) under uncultured bacterium. RNAcentral describes it as "partial 16S ribosomal RNA". It matches the Rfam family "Bacterial small subunit ribosomal RNA", at positions 355 to 774 of the family's 1533-position model. The record is from RNAcentral.